CUACGGGGGGUGCAAGCGUUAAUCGGAAUUACUGGGCGUAAAGCGCGCGUAGGCGGUUUGCUCAGUCGGAUGUGAGAGCCCAGGGCUCAACCUUGGAACUGCAUACGAUACUGGCAAACUUGAGUGUGAGAGAGGAUAGUGGAAUUUCCGGUGUAGCGGUGAAAUGCGUAGAUAUCGGAAGGAACAUCAGUGGCGAAGGCGACUGUCUGGCUCAACACUGACGCUGAGGUGCGAAAGCGUGGGUAGCAAACAGGAUUAGAUACCCCAGUAGUCC
This 274-nucleotide ribosomal RNA is filed under the name uncultured bacterium. Its description in RNAcentral is "partial 16S ribosomal RNA". It matches the Rfam family "Bacterial small subunit ribosomal RNA", at positions 523 to 796 of the family's 1533-position model. The record is from RNAcentral.